Podarcis lilfordi (Lilford's wall lizard) is the source of this 74-nucleotide non-coding RNA. The record is from the annotation of a GenBank genome assembly. Lineage: Eukaryota; Metazoa; Chordata; Lepidosauria; Squamata; Lacertidae.
AUCUGGGAUAGCUCAGUUAGUAGAGCAUAAGACUCUUAAUCUUAGGGUCAUGGGUUUGAGCCCCACUUUGGGCA